Molecule: long non-coding RNA, 1539 nt
Filed under: Glycine max (soybean)
Lineage: Eukaryota; Viridiplantae; Streptophyta; Magnoliopsida; Fabales; Fabaceae
Description: long non-coding RNA (GMAX_LNC001245)
Source: RNAcentral
CAAUUUAAUCUUUCAUACCUUUUUGUUUUGGUUUGAUGAAUAUGAAUAUUUGGUUGAAUCGGCUGAGAAUUAGUGUUGGACCCACUAAACCCAUAUUUUUGUUAUCUAUGAUUUUCUUCUUUUUUUCGGAAAGAGAGGAUCCAAUUUAUUUUUAUUUUGAAGAUUGGGAGGUUUAACAGAAAAAUUUGUAAUUGAAAAGGUCAUAAUAAUAAAUUUUCAUCCCACAAUCAGAGAAAGGGGCAUUCCUGAUUAUAGGCAGAAUGGUUACGGGUGCUAAUGCCUAAUGCUCUUGGGGCAGUGGCAUAGUGCGGCCAGUGAAUAACCCUAAAAUGAGGUGACUCCUGUGGUUUAGGGAUGGAGAUGGAUUUUGUUAUAAUACCUGAUUUGGAGAGAUGGAGGGCGAGCCCUGGUGCAGCGGUAAAGUUGUGCCUUGGUGACUUGUUGGUCAUGGGUUCGAAUCCGGAAACAGUCUCUUUGCAUAUGCAAGGGUAAGGCUGCGUACAACAUCCCUCCCCCAUACUUUCGCAUAGCGAAGAGCCUCUGGGCAAUGGGGUACGAAGAAGUUUUUUACCUGAUUUGGAGAGAUAUGAUCUGCUUUUUACCCUCCUCUAGAAGAUAUAGAGGUCUUUUGGCGGGGCUGAGAUAACCAGUUGUUUCAUUUGGACCUCCUAACCAGUAUGUCCUAUCUUAGUAUAGGACAUAAAAAGCGUGUAUAUGGUUUUGCAUUGAAACCAGAGAACGCGCAUGAGAAACAUGUUAUAGUUAACGUUUUUUGGUGGGGCUGAGAUGAAAAACGUGUAUUUGGAUCUCCUCUUGAAGAUAUAGUGGUCUUUUGGUAAGGCUGAGAUAACCAGUUGUUUCAUUUAGACUUCCUAACCAGUAUGUCUCGAAGCUGAAAUCUUAGUAUAGGACGCAAAGCGCAUAUUUGGUUUUGCACUGAAAGCAGAGAAUGUGCAUGAAAAAUGUGUUAUAGUUAAUCUUUUUUGGUGGGGCAGAGAUGAAAAAUGUGUAUUUGGAUCUCCUCUAGAAGAUAUAGUGGUCUUUUGGUGGGGUUGAGAUAACCAGUUGUUUCAUUUGGACCUCUUAACCGUCCUGAAGCCGAAAUCUUAGUAUAGGACACAAAGCGUUUUGCAUUGAAACCAGAGAACGCACAUGAAAAAUGUGUAAAAGUUAACGUUCCAGGAAGUUGCCUCAUUAUCAACGCAUAAAAGUGAAUUGAUUUUUGUGAAAGUAACGCUGAACCAAACAUACUGAAAAUCUGGCGGUGAUAGUUAUCUGAGCCUUGUUUUCUUAUUCUUUUUAACUCUUGAUGGUGACAUACAACUACAUCUUCUUCAAAUUAGUAACUGAGAAGUAAGUUGAUGUUUUCUAUUUCUUGUGUAAUGCACACAUGAUUACUGAUUUCUUACGCACAAAAAUGCUUGAAGAAUUUGCAACUGUAUUGCUAUGUGUCUGAUAUGCUGCUUAUUCAAUGGUUCUGUCACUUGUUGGACUUUUAAUUUCAACAAUAGUAAAUACUAAAUAUUAAUUUUCAGGUGC